Molecule: ribosomal RNA, 460 nt
Filed under: uncultured bacterium
Lineage: Bacteria
Description: partial 16S ribosomal RNA
Rfam family: Bacterial small subunit ribosomal RNA
Source: RNAcentral
CCUACGGGUGGCAGCAGUGGGGAAUAUUGCACAAUGGGCGCGAGCCUGAUCCAGCGACGUCGCGUGAGGGAAGACUGCCCUCCGGGUUGUAAACUUCUUUUGUAAGGGCAUAAAGUGAGGCACGUGUGCAUUUUUGUCUGUCCUUUUUGAAUCCGGAUCGGCUAACUCCGUGCCAGCAGCCGCGGUAAUACGGAGGAUCCGGGCGUUAUCCGGAUUUAUUGGGUUUAACGGGAGCGUAGAUGGGUUGUUAAGUCAGGUGUGAAAGUUUGCGGCUCAACCGUAAAAUUGCAAUGGAUACUGGCAGGCUGGAGUACAGUUGAGGUAGGCGGAAUUCGUGGUGUAGCGGUGAAAUGCGUAGAUAUCACGAAGAACUCCGAUGGCGAAGGCAGCUUACUAAACUGCCACUGACAUUGAGGCUCGAAAGUGUGGGUAGCAAACAGGAUUAGAUACCCGGGUAGUC